This 448-nucleotide ribosomal RNA is filed under the name uncultured bacterium. Its description in RNAcentral is "partial 16S ribosomal RNA". It matches the Rfam family "Bacterial small subunit ribosomal RNA", at positions 29 to 523 of the family's 1533-position model. The record is from RNAcentral.
AACGAACGCUGGCGGCAGGCCUAACACAUGCAAGUCGAACGAACCUUUAUGGUGAGUGGCGCACGGGUGCGUAACACGUGGGAAUAUACAUUUCGGUAAGGAAUAACGUAGAGAAAUUUGCGCUAAUACCUUAUAAUGACUCCGGUCCAAAGAUUUAUCGCCGAAGGAUUAGCCCGCGUCUGAUUAGGUAGUUGGUAGGGUAAAAGCCUACCAAGCCGACGAUCAGUAGCUGGUCUGAGAGGAGGAUCAGCCACACUGGAACUGAGACACGGUCCAGAGUCCUACGGGAGGCAGCAGUGAGGAAUAUUGGACAAUGGGAGAAACCCUGAUCCAGCCAUGCAGCGUGAGUGACGAAGGCCUUAGGGUUGUAAAGCUCGUUCAGAUGCGAAGAUAAUGACGGUAACAUCAGAAGAAGCUCCGGCUAAAUUCGUGCCAGCCGCCGCCGUAA